Perca fluviatilis (European perch) is the source of this 705-nucleotide long non-coding RNA. RefSeq lists it as uncharacterized. The record is from RefSeq and is a predicted model, not a curated record. NCBI's taxonomy places the organism in Eukaryota, Metazoa, Chordata, Actinopteri, Perciformes, Percidae. The transcript has 5 exons.
UGUAGCCUCUCAUGACGUCACAAUAGCAAUUCAGAAUUUAAGUUUUUUUUUUUUUUUUUUCAGUCUGUACUCAGUUUGUUAGAGAGACAACAAGUAAAGACACAUUGUGAAGCAUAAACAGACUUGACUGUGUGAGGAAAAUGACUUGUUUUUACAGCACACAAGACGGAGUCAACAGCGACGGUUUCCAGACCUGCCGAGCCUGAUGACUCCUCUGGGAUUGUUGCUUCUGUGAAAGCCACGACGAAGGCCCCGCUGCCGGUCCUUCCUCAGCUGCUCGCCCUCGCCCCACAGCUUGGGGUAGAAGAACAGGCACCUAAUGUGUUGAGACAAAAGCCUGGGAUAACAUCAGCUCCAUUUCUUCCUGAAGAGUCACCAUCAGUGGAAGCACAGAGAGACACUGUGCCUGAUGAAGCUCUGCCAAGUCCAGCACCGUCUGUCCCUUUAGAUGUCCCACACCAGCCUGCAGCCUCUGUCCCUGGCUAUGCUCAGGAUGUAGCGCAGUGGAACUGCUCCCACCAGCAGAAAAUUUGGAUGAAGACUGAGCUGGAGGCGUUGGGACUGUGGCCGGGGUCACGUCCUGUUCGUCAUCCUAUGAACAUGCUGUCCUUGUGGCGUAAUCCACCUCAGCCUGAGCUCAUAGACUCAAUCUCUGAGCUGCCAUCACCUAAAUACUGUCAGCUUCAUCCUUUUUUCAUUUGGAAG